GCCCUAAAGUACUCUCUGUAACAAUGCCCCAGUAUCUAAUUCACUCUUUAUAACAAUGUCCCCAGUUAAUUAUAUGCUCUUUAUAACAAUGCCCUAAAGUACUCUCUGUAACAAUGCCCCAGUAUCUAAUGCACUCUUUAUAACAAUGUCCCCAGUUAAUUAUAUGCUCUUUAUAACAAUGCCCUAAAGUACUCUCUGUAACAAUGCCCCAGUAUCUAAUUCACUCUUUAUAACAAUGUCCCCAGUUAAUUAUAUGCUCUUUAUAACAAUGCCCUAAAGUACUCUCUGUAACAAUGCCCCAGUAUCUAAUUCACUCUUUAUAACAAUGCCCCGGCAACUAAUGCACUCUUUAUAACAAUGCCCUAAAGUACUCUCUGUAACAAUGCCCCAGUAUCUAAUUCACUCUUUAUAACAAUGUCCCCAGUUAAUUAUAUGCUCUUUAUAACAAUGCCCUAAAGUACUCUCUGUAACAAUGCCCCAGUAUCUAAUGCACUCUUUAUAACAAUGUCCCCAGUUAAUUAUAUGCUCUUUAUAACAAUGCCCUAAAGUACUCUCUGUAACAAUGCCCCAGUAUCUAAUGCACUCUUUAUAACAAUGUCCCCAGUUAAUUAUAUGCUCUUUAUAACAAUGCCCUAAAGUACUCUCUGUAACAAUGCCCCAGUAUCUAAUUCACUCUUUAUAACAAUUCCCCGGCAACUAAUGCACUCUUUAUUACAAUGUCCCAGCAACUAAUGCACUCUUUAUAACAAUGCCCUAAGUACCUAAUGUACUCUCUGUAACAAUGAUCUGUAUCUGAUUCACUCUUUAUAACAAUGUCCAUAUACAUAAUGCACUCUUUAUAACAAUGCCCCAGCACCUAAUGUACUCUUUGUAUCUCUGUAUAAGCUACAUUAGGCACUUAAUGAUCAUGGUAUACUUCUUGCCCUUUCUGUUAGUUUACAGUGAUUGUCUUAUUCAAUGUUGCAAUGUUAACAGACACCAUGCCCUUGUAUUGCCUAAUGCUGCACAUCUUGUGUGCUUGCCUGUAUGCCCAUGUUUACAGCGGUGUAGCUGCCUGUGUUGUACUGCCUCCUUAUAGUCUGUAGUAUUGGUGGAGUGUUGCACCUUGAGCAAAGGGACUUGGACUUGCCAGGGCCGUCAACUGGUCCUUGUGAAGAUAUUACAGUUGUACAUCGCUAAGUGGACACUUAAUUUGUCCUGGACCCCAUUCUACUCCACAAAGCCAUCCUAGUGCCUAACCUUGUGGAAUCAUCAGGGGACCAAGGCUGUCAACUGGUCCUUAUGAAGAUAUUAAGGGAAGUACUGGAGCUGUACAUCGCUCAGUGGACACUUUGUCCUGGACCGCUUCCACUCCACAAAGGUGUCCUAGUGCCUAACCUUGUGGAAUUGGGACCUGGGCUGUCGACUGGUCCUUAUGAAGAUAUUAAUGGGAAGUGCUAGAGCUGUACAUCGCUCAGUGGACACUUUGUCCUGGACCCAGAUCCACUCCACAAAACUGUCCUGGUGCUUAACUUUGUGGAAUGGGAACCAAGGCUGUCAACUGGUCCUUGUGAAGACUAACUGAGUAUGGUUUUACGCCGCUUUUAGCAAUACCGAUAUUCCAGCAAUAUCAUGGCAGGGUUUGGGGCACCACAAAUGGGCUUCACAUAUUGUACCCGGGUCUUCUGAGUGAUCCUUAUGAAGAUAUUAAGGGGAAGAACUAGAGCUAUACAUCGCUCAGUUGAUGCUUUGUCCUGGACCCUGUUCCACUCCACAAAGCUGUCCUUGUGCUUAACUUUUUGGAAUGGGGCCUGGGUUAGAUUCCAAAUCUAUCUCAAAUUCUGUCCAUCUUUCACCAGACAGUCAAGGGAGUAUUUUAGUUUUGAGGAUAGUCACAGACCAUUGCAGACCUAGCAAGUGAAGACCCAGGCUCCAGUGCAAUUCACAGCAAGUCUUAUGUGAGCUAUGAGCAUAAUAUCCUCAUUCUUCACCAGUGUGGGUUACAUAUACAUAAUAUAUACACACACAUAAUAUAUGCAUUUAUAGCUGUGGUAUUUACUGCCUUUAUUAGUGUAUUAUUUAACAUGUAGUUUAUUCAUUAAGUAUUUUGCUUGUUAUACAUAUCUACUUUUAUGCACAAUCUUUUGUCUGUGUGAGACUUGUGAUAUUGGAGAUGUUAAACAAAGGGAGACAACCCUGCUGUAUAUGAUGUCCAGUGACACAUCUGUGUUAAGUCCCUUUAAUAACCCUUGUAUUAUUUGAAAUGGGGUUUGGUUAAACAGUAUCAGAUAUUGUGAUAGUUUACAGAAGAAAUGGAAUCUCCCCAUGUGUUACAUAUCAUUGCCAGUCUAAUAUUUCAGUAUUUACUUACUGCUUUCAAAUUACCAGCAGAGUGCUGUGACAAAGAUAGGUCCCAUUUCACCAUUUCAGUGAUGUUCUUCAUCAACGAAGUCUUAAAGAUUGUUUUUUUUCUUUGUUAACAAGCUUGACCUAUACUCUGCUGUAGCUGUUAGUAAUGCAGUUGCUGCCGUCGUUGUGUAGCUUACUGUGUGCAAUAAAUCUGUCAGUCAACCA
RNAcentral lists this long non-coding RNA (2553 nucleotides) under Haliotis rubra (blacklip abalone). Its description in RNAcentral is "uncharacterized LOC124261828". Lineage: Eukaryota; Metazoa; Mollusca; Gastropoda; Lepetellida; Haliotidae. The record is from RNAcentral.